UACAGAGGGUGCAAGCGUUGUCCGGAAUUAUUGGGCGUAAAGAGCUCGUAGGCGGUCUGUCGCGUCUGCUGUGAAAUCCUCAGGCUCAACCUGGGGCUUGCAGUGGGUACGGGCUGACUGGAGUGCGGUAGGGGUGACUGGAAUUCCUGGUGUAGCGGUGGAAUGCGCAGAUAUCAGGAGGAACACCGAUGGCGAAGGCAGGUCACUGGGCCGCAACUGACGCUGAGGAGCGAAAGCAUGGGGAGCGAACAGG
Molecule: ribosomal RNA, 253 nt
Filed under: uncultured bacterium
Lineage: Bacteria
Description: partial 16S ribosomal RNA
Rfam family: Bacterial small subunit ribosomal RNA
Source: RNAcentral